This 436-nucleotide ribosomal RNA is filed under the name uncultured bacterium. RNAcentral describes it as "bacterial SSU rRNA". It matches the Rfam family "Bacterial small subunit ribosomal RNA", at positions 28 to 500 of the family's 1533-position model. The record is from RNAcentral.
GACGAACGCUGGCGGCGUGCCUAAUGCAUGCAAGUCGAACGCACUGCCUUCGGGCAGUGAGUGGCGCACGGCUGAGGAACACGUGGGAAUCUGCCCGACCGUGGGGGAUAACACGCCGAAAGGCGUGCUAAGCCCGCAUACGCUCGCAAGAGGAAAGCGGUAACGCGCGGUCGGAGGAGCCUGCGGCCCAUCAGGUAGUCGGCGGGGUAACGGCCCACCGAGCCGGUGACGGGUAGCUGGUCUGUGAGGACAGACAGCCAGACUGGGACUGAGACACGGCCCAGACUCCUACGGGAGGCAGCAGCAAGGAAUUUUCGGCAAUGGGCGCAAGCCUGACCGAGCAACGCCGCGUGGAGGACGACGGCCUUCGGGUUGUAAACUCCUUUUGUCGGGGUACGGAGUUGUGACUGUACCCCGCGAACUCAGGCUCGGCCAA